Harmonia axyridis is the source of this 747-nucleotide long non-coding RNA. RefSeq lists it as uncharacterized. The transcript is spliced from 3 exons. The record is from RefSeq and is a predicted model, not a curated record. NCBI's taxonomy places the organism in Eukaryota, Metazoa, Arthropoda, Insecta, Coleoptera, Coccinellidae.
UGCUCCCCAUAGAGUAAGUAUAUAUAGAGGAGAAACUGAGGUACUAAACUCUGAAACAGUAAUUUAGUUCCACCAACACCUUCCAGAGACCGCUCGCAUCGCUGAUUUUCUGUUUACCUCGAGAAUUAUUUACUUAACCUCAAAAAUUUUCAGUUGAUCCGUCGAACCUUAUUUUUGGUAAGAGAUUUAUUAUGUCGCAGUCAACUUUGAAAUCCAACAAAUAUUGUGUUCCUAACUGUGGAGAUAUGUAUAGUAAACGUCAUCGUUUUCGAAUGAAGAGAAGCAGCCAACAAUUUUCAAACUUUGGCUCGAAAAAGUUAGUUAUCCAUUGCUCAACUCUAAAACUCCUCAACAAAUUUGUAAGAAGUGAAAUUAGAUAGCCUUAAAGGAAUUUGACAACUGCUAUCCCUGAAUUAUUUCUUCCUGGAUCUUCAAAUCAAGGGGAAGAUGGAGAAGUUCAUGACACUGAAGGAAUACAUCUCCAAAGUGAUGUUGAGAGGGAAGUAUCAACAGAGACUUUGAAGAAUUUUAAGCACCCUCAGAAAACUUCAAUAAUAUAUAGAAAAAGAUAUCGAGGACAACAAUUAAUUGACACUAGAGGCUGUGGGCACUGCAGAGCUGAUCAUUUUUAUCUAUAAGCUGUUUGAUAGCCUGAAUAUGCAAUUGUGAAGGACACAUUAAAAAUUUGGCAUACUAGAAAUAUUUAAAAAAAUGUAAAAUUUUAAAUAGAUGAUUUUUUUAUAUGAA